UUUAUUGGAGAGUUUGAUCCUGGCUCAGGAUGAACGCUGGCGGCGUGCCUAAUACAUGCAAGUCGAGCGAAUGGAUUAAGAGCUUGCUCUUAUGAAGUUAGCGGCGGACGGGUGAGUAACACGUGGGUAACCUGCCCAUAAGACUGGGAUAACUCCGGGAAACCGGGGCUAAUACCGGAUAACAUUUUGAACUGCAUGGUUCGAAAUUGAAAGGCGGCUUCGGCUGUCACUUAUGGAUGGACCCGCGACGCAUUAGCUAGUUGGUGAGGUAACGGCUCACCAAGGCAACGAUGCGU
Molecule: ribosomal RNA, 296 nt
Filed under: Bacillus cereus
Lineage: Bacteria; Bacillati; Bacillota; Bacilli; Caryophanales; Bacillaceae
Description: partial 16S ribosomal RNA
Rfam family: Bacterial small subunit ribosomal RNA
Source: RNAcentral